This 189-nucleotide ribosomal RNA is filed under the name Triticum aestivum (bread wheat). RNAcentral describes it as "partial small subunit ribosomal RNA". The record is from RNAcentral. Lineage: Eukaryota; Viridiplantae; Streptophyta; Magnoliopsida; Poales; Poaceae.
AUGGCGUACGAGACGGACUUCGGGUGGGGCGCCCCGAGCCGCGUGGAGCUCGUCUCCAUGUUCGCGGCGGAGCUGGUGACGCUGCUCGGAGCGAGGGAGGCCGGCGCCGUGCAGGUGUCCGUGGCGCUUCGCCGGCCCUUGAUGGAGGCGUUCGCGGACAACUUCCUUGCGCUGGCCGGGAGCAGCUAG